UUUUAUGGAGAGUUUGAUCCUGGCUCAGGAUGAACGCUGGCGGCGUGCCUAAUACAUGCAAGUCGAGCGAACGGACGAGAAGCUUGCUUCUCUGAUGUUAGCGGCGGACGGGUGAGUAACACGUGGAUAACCUACCUAUAAGACUGGGAUAACUUCGGGAAACCGGAGCUAAUACCGGAUAAUAUUUCGAACCGCAUGGUUCAAAAGUGAAAGACGGUCUUGCUGUCACUUAUAGAUGGAUCCGCGCUGCAUUAGCUAGUUGGUAAGGUAACGGCUUACCAAGGCAACGAUGCAUAGCCGACCUGAGAGGGUGAUCGGCCACACUGGAACUGAGACACGGUCCAGACUCCUACGGGAGGCAGCAGUAGGGAAUCUUCCGCAAUGGGCGAAAGCCUGACGGAGCAACGCCGCGUGAGUGAUGAAGGUCUUCGGAUCGUAAAACUCUGUUAUUAGGGAAGAACAUAUGUGUAAGUAACUGUGCACAUCUUGACGGUACCUAAUCAGAAAGCCACGGCUAACUACGUGCCAGCAGCCGCGGUAAUACGUAGGUGGCAAGCGUUAUCCGGAAUUAUUGGGCGUAAAGCGCGCGUAGGCGGUUUUUUAAGUCUGAUGUGAAAGCCCACGGCUCAACCGUGGAGGGUCAUUGGAAACUGGAAAACUUGAGUGCAGAAGAGGAAAGUGGAAUUCCAUGUGUAGCGGUGAAAUGCGCAGAGAUAUGGAGGAACACCAGUGGCGAAGGCGACUUUCUGGUCUGUAACUGACGCUGAUGUGCGAAAGCGUGGGGAUCAAACAGGAUUAGAUACCCUGGUAGUCCACGCCGUAAACGAUGAGUGCUAAGUGUUAGGGGGUUUCCGCCCCUUAGUGCUGCAGCUAACGCAUUAAGCACUCCGCCUGGGGAGUACGACCGCAAGGUUGAAACUCAAAGGAAUUGACGGGGACCCGCACAAGCGGUGGAGCAUGUGGUUUAAUUCGAAGCAACGCGAAGAACCUUACCAAAUCUUGACAUCCUUUGACAACUCUAGAGAUAGAGCCUUCCCCUUCGGGGGACAAAGUGACAGGUGGUGCAUGGUUGUCGUCAGCUCGUGUCGUGAGAUGUUGGGUUAAGUCCCGCAACGAGCGCAACCCUUAAGCUUAGUUGCCAUCAUUAAGUUGGGCACUCUAAGUUGACUGCCGGUGACAAACCGGAGGAAGGUGGGGAUGACGUCAAAUCAUCAUGCCCCUUAUGAUUUGGGCUACACACGUGCUACAAUGGACAAUACAAAGGGCAGCGAAACCGCGAGGUCAAGCAAAUCCCAUAAAGUUGUUCUCAGUUCGGAUUGUAGUCUGCAACUCGACUACAUGAAGCUGGAAUCGCUAGUAAUCGUAGAUCAGCAUGCUACGGUGAAUACGUUCCCGGGUCUUGUACACACCGCCCGUCACACCACGAGAGUUUGUAACACCCGAAGCCGGUGGAGUAACCUUUUAGGAGCUAGCCGUCGAAGGUGGGACAAAUGAUUGGGGUGAAGUCGUAACAAGGUAGCCGUAUCGGAAGGUGCGGCUGGAUCACCUCCUUUCUAA
This 1557-nucleotide ribosomal RNA is filed under the name Staphylococcus aureus. RNAcentral's name for it is "16S ribosomal RNA". It matches the Rfam family "Bacterial small subunit ribosomal RNA". Lineage: Bacteria; Bacillati; Bacillota; Bacilli; Caryophanales; Staphylococcaceae. The record is from RNAcentral.